GGUUUAUGUAUGUGUGUGUGUGUGUGUACAUUUGUGCGUGUGUUAUGUGUCUACGUGUUAACCGGGAAGAAUACCUGCACACCUUCCGUCUACACGUCUACACAGAGAUGUCUUCGUCCCGCUCUUCGUCGUCCCUCCACGCCCAUCUGUCGCUUCCGUCUACCUGUCGCGCGUAAUUGGAGGUCGCUUCGCUCACCUGACACUCUCGCACCCAACAGGGGCUACAGGUAGAGGGGAGCGCAAAUUGGAGCGUAUACCUGAGGAGAAAGACCGAUUUGGCGGCGAACAGUGAUGCCAGAACAGAGCACAGACCCCUCCAAGCCAUCCCCGUCCUCUGAUUGGUCACCCGCACACCCGCCGAUGACGUAGGCCGUGACGUGGCAGGCUGUGAUUGGAAGGAGAAGUCUUGGGCAGCGCCGCUCCACCAGGAUGUCAGUCGUGCACGCUGAGGCCACCGCAGCAAACAGCCAGACGAGUUCUUGUUUUCUUGAGGGCGUAGAAUAAAGUGUGAUAACAGGGUCAUAGUGGGCAAAGAAAGCAGAGUCAGGUACCUUAAUGGUUACCAUCUCACUUGCUUGGUAGUAGUCUGACAGUAAUCUAUUUGGGUCUUUUAUUAUUUCAGUGUUUGGGGCUUUUAAAAGAUAUUCAUGUCAGAUUCUGUGGAGUUUCUUAUUUCUAGUAACCGUUUAAAAUGAUGCUUGUAGUGUAAAUCCUUGCCCUUAAAAGCACAUAUAUUUGCUAAUUUAAUCCCUUUAAUUCUUGCUUUUUGUCACUUGCUUAUUUUUACGGUACAUUCAUUGCAGGAGAGACCAGGGCUUAUUGAUCUUGAUCGUGGAAGAUGGUAGCUGAAAUGUAGUAACUUUUAAAUAAGUAUAUCAGGCUAUGCAAUCAUUAACAUUAUCACGACUAAAUAGUUCAGUACAACAGCUCUCCAAAUGGCAUGUUUUUUUUCCCCUUUAUAUAUUAAGACCUACAGUAUACUAACUUUAUUCAAUUCACUGACCCCACUCUAGUCUCAUUACCCCUUACAGUUAGUUCUCAUCACACCACCCAAUCAUUCUUUCCUUUACCUCCUCACACCCAUGACUUCACAGUAUUUUUCAUAACAUCAGAGAGGCACUUCCUUCCUGAACCAUUCCUCACCGAAGCCUUGCAUGCCCCGGACCUGUUCUCGACCGUAUUCCUCAGCACGCUCUUAAGGGGGUGGUUGCAGCAGAUUAUUUAAGUUCUUCCCCUUUUGGAAUAUCUUUUCUUGUACCUUCAGACUACUUGUUCCAAACCCUCUUACAUUUUAUUGUUAAUCCUCUACCACAUUUAUAUUUUAUGGGUCAUUUUUUUUCUUACAGUUCAUAGAUCGUUCUUGUCCAUCCAUAGAUUUUAUAGGUUAAGCUUUUCCAUUUGUAGAGUCGGCAAGAAUGCAUCAAACAUCCAUUUGUCGAUUGAGUUUGAGUGUAAACUAUAGACAUGGUGUUGUGUUGGUUAGGUGGGUACAAUGGCUAUAUGUAUAAUCUCUACUCAUGGGUGUUCGAUACUUUUUUGCCGACAAUGGGUUAUGCGUUAUUUUCUAUUACAUAACGUUAAUUGCAAGGAGUGAACAGGAUUAAUUGAAAUUGAUUCACAAGCCUGAAAGGGAACUGA
Molecule: long non-coding RNA, 1638 nt
Organism: Eriocheir sinensis (Chinese mitten crab)
Lineage: Eukaryota; Metazoa; Arthropoda; Malacostraca; Decapoda; Varunidae
Exons: 6
Source: RefSeq, a predicted model, not a curated record